GCUGGGUGCAGUGGUGCUCCCCUGUAAUCCCAGCAACUUGGGAGGCUAAGGCAGGAGGAUUGCUAGUUUGGCACCUUAGUGAGACCCUAUCUCAA
RNAcentral lists this small RNA (95 nucleotides) under Marmota monax (woodchuck). Lineage: Eukaryota; Metazoa; Chordata; Mammalia; Rodentia; Sciuridae. The record is from RNAcentral.